ACCAUAUACUUGUGUCUUUUAAUAACGGCACAAUACAAAUACCUUAAAAUCAAAUUUGCGAUCAUACUUAAAGAGAAACGUGAAAUAACGAAGGAUCUUUACAAAGAUAUUAUUUGGCAAAACGAAAAUGUUGAAACGAUCAGACAGGAAAUGAAGUUGUUAACCCGCCAUUUUGAAACUGUAAUCGAAGCUCGUCUAUAGCAGAUGAUGUGGUAUACGAAAAGUGGUAUUUUCACGACGUACGCUUUCAACGUGUAAUUCUUAUGAUAAGCUUGGCUAACGAAUUAAAAUGUAAAAUAUCUAAUUUUCAAAAUAUUGAUUUAACGUUACCAUCUUUUAUGUCGAUUCUAAAUCAAGCAUAUUCGGUAUGUUUAUUAUUUUUGAAAGCAGGACAAGAUUAAAUUAAAUUAUUAUAAUACUAAUCUUGUAAUACUAAUCAAUAGUAUAUGUGAUACUUAUGAUUAAAAGUUUCUCA
RNAcentral lists this unclassified non-coding RNA (475 nucleotides) under Apis florea (little honeybee). RNAcentral describes it as "uncharacterized LOC100863329, transcript variant X2". Lineage: Eukaryota; Metazoa; Arthropoda; Insecta; Hymenoptera; Apidae. The record is from RNAcentral.